UGGGGAAUCUUGGACAAUGGGCGCAAGCCUGAUCCAGCAAUGCCGCGUGCAGGAUGAAGGCCUUCGGGUUGUAGACUGCUUUUGUACGGAGCGAAAAGGUCUGCCCUAAUACGGUGGGCUCAUGACGGUACCGUAAGAAUAAGCACCGGCUAACUACGUGCCAGCAGCCGCGGUAAUACGUAGGGUGCGAGCGUUAAUCGGAAUUACUGGGCGUAAAGCGUGCGCAGGCGGUUAUAUAAGACAGAGGUGAAAUCCCCGGGCUCAACCUGGGAACUGCCUUUGUGACUGCAUAGCUAGAGUACGGUAGAGGGGGAUGGAAUUCCGCGUGUAGCAGUGAAAUGCGUAGAUAUGCGGAGGAACACCGAUGGCGAAGGCAAUCCCCUGGACCUGUACUGACGCUCAUGCACGAAAGCGUGGGGAGCAAACA
RNAcentral lists this ribosomal RNA (427 nucleotides) under uncultured bacterium. Its description in RNAcentral is "bacterial SSU rRNA". It matches the Rfam family "Bacterial small subunit ribosomal RNA", at positions 355 to 774 of the family's 1533-position model. The record is from RNAcentral.